RNAcentral lists this ribosomal RNA (207 nucleotides) under uncultured bacterium. Its description in RNAcentral is "partial 16S ribosomal RNA". It matches the Rfam family "Bacterial small subunit ribosomal RNA", at positions 568 to 774 of the family's 1533-position model. The record is from RNAcentral.
CGCGUAGGUGGCUUGUCAGGUCCGAUGUGAAAUUCUGGGGCUUAACUCCAGGCGUGCAUCGGAAACCGGCUUGCUAGAGUCUGGGAGAGGAGAGUGGAAUUCCUGGUGUAGCGGUGAAAUGCGUAGAUAUCAGGAGGAACACCGGUAGCGAAGGCGGCUCUCUGGAACAGUACUGACACUGAGGCGCGAAAGCUAGGGGAGCGAACA